GGGCCCGCACAAGCGGUGGAGCAUGUGGUUUAAUUCGAUGCAACGCGAAGAACCUUACCAGGGCUUGACAUACUACAAAUCUUUUCGAAACGAAAGAGUGCCUUCGGGAAUGUAGAUACAGGUGGUGCAUGGCUGUCGUCAGCUCGUGUCGUGAGAUGUUGGGUUAAGUCCCGCAACGAGCGCAACCCUCAUUUUUAGUUGCCAAUUUAUUGGGAUUUCUAGAGAGACUGCCGGUGACAAACCGGAGGAAGGUGAGGAUGACGUCAAGUCAGCAUGCCCCUUAUGCCCUGGGCCACACACGUGCUACAAUGGCGAAGACAAAGAGUCGCAAACCUGCGAAGGCUAGCUAAUCUCGUAAACUUCGUCUAAGUUCGGAUUGCAGGCUGCAACUCGCCUGCAUGAAGUUGGAAUCGCUAGUAAUCG
This 423-nucleotide ribosomal RNA is filed under the name uncultured bacterium. RNAcentral describes it as "bacterial SSU rRNA". It matches the Rfam family "Bacterial small subunit ribosomal RNA", at positions 917 to 1344 of the family's 1533-position model. The record is from RNAcentral.